GAGUUUGAUCAUGGCUCAGAUUGAACGCUGGCGGCAUGCCUUACACAUGCAAGUCGAACGGCAGCACGGGAGCUUGCUCCUGGUGGCGAGUGGCGAACGGGUGAGUAAUGCAUCGGAACGUAUCCUGGAGUGGGGGAUAACGUAGCGAAAGUUACGCUAAUACCGCAUAUUCUGUGAGCAGGAAAGCGGGGGACCUUCGGGCCUCGCGCUCUUGGAGCGGCCGAUGUCGGAUUAGCUAGUUGGUGAGGUAAAGGCUCACCAAGGCGACGAUCCGUAGCAGGUCUGAGAGGAUGAUCUGCCACACUGGAACUGAGACACGGUCCAGACUCCUACGGGAGGCAGCAGUGGGGAAUUUUGGACAAUGGGGGCAACCCUGAUCCAGCCAUGCCGCGUGAGUGAAGAAGGCCUCGGUUGUAAGUACGUC
This 424-nucleotide ribosomal RNA is filed under the name bacterium enrichment culture clone ALO1_GLFRUDD03G9DSQ. RNAcentral describes it as "bacterial SSU rRNA". It matches the Rfam family "Bacterial small subunit ribosomal RNA", at positions 9 to 436 of the family's 1533-position model. The record is from RNAcentral.